RNAcentral lists this ribosomal RNA (484 nucleotides) under uncultured bacterium. RNAcentral describes it as "bacterial SSU rRNA". It matches the Rfam family "Bacterial small subunit ribosomal RNA", at positions 28 to 496 of the family's 1533-position model. The record is from RNAcentral.
GAUGAACGCUGGCGGCGUGCUUAAUACAUGCAAGUCGAACGAAGCACCUCUCCCGAAGAUAGACCCAGCUUGCUGGGAAUUGAUUCAUUUGAGGUGACUGAGUGGCGGACGGGUGAGUAACGCGUGGGUAACCUGCCUUAUACAGGGGGAUAACAGUUGGAACCGACUGCUAAUACCGCAUAAGCGCACAGUACCGCAUGGUACAGUGUGAAAAACUCCGGUGGUAUAAGAUGGACCCGCGUCUGAUUAGCUGGUUGGUGAGGUAACGGCUUACCAAGGCAACGAUCAGUAGCCGACUUGAGAGAGUGAUCGGCCACAUUGGGACUGAGACACGGCCCAAACUCCUACGGGAGGCAGCAGUAGGGAAUAUUGCACAAUGGGGGAAACCCUGAUGCAGCGACGCCGCGUGAAGGAUGAAGUAUUUCGGUAUGUAAACUUCUAUCAGCAAGGAAGAAAAUGACGGUACUUGACUAAGAAGCCCCGG